This 254-nucleotide ribosomal RNA is filed under the name uncultured bacterium. RNAcentral describes it as "partial 16S ribosomal RNA". It matches the Rfam family "Bacterial small subunit ribosomal RNA", at positions 524 to 776 of the family's 1533-position model. The record is from RNAcentral.
UACGUAGGGGGCGAGCGUUGUCCGGAUUCAUUGGGCGUAAAGAGCUCGUAGGCGGCUUGGCAAGUCGGGUGUGAAAACUCCAGGCUCAACCUGGAGACGCCACCCGAUACUGCCAUGGCUUGAGUCCGGUAGGGGACCACGGAAUUCCUGGUGUAGCGGUGAAAUGCGCAGAUAUCAGGAGGAACACCGGUGGCGAAGGCGGUGGUCUGGGCCGGUACUGACGCUGAGGAGCGAAAGCGUGGGGAGCGAGCAGG